Molecule: non-coding RNA, 316 nt
Organism: Arachis ipaensis
Lineage: Eukaryota; Viridiplantae; Streptophyta; Magnoliopsida; Fabales; Fabaceae
Source: RefSeq, a predicted model, not a curated record
UUCUUCAUAGGUGUAGGCAUCCGUUUCUUCUUUUCUCAAACUGCAUCCACUCGUGCUUCUUGCCUUUGGUUCUCCAUCUACCUUUGCUCUGCCUCUGCGUAUCCUGGUUUGUCAUCACCGUCGUGGUCGUCGUGCUUGGGCUAGCCGUCUGCCUCUCCUUCUCCUCUGAAUCAACUUCUACGUGUGCCAGAAAGCUUCGGGUCCGGUAUAUUGUGUUCAGUCCAAAAAAUUCUUGUGGAAAGAAUAAGCUCUGUGUUCUGGGCAGACUUGCAGCUGUUGCUUUUGCUGGUAUUACAUCAACUUUUAGGGAACAAUG